UACAGAGGGUGCGAGCGUUGUCCGGAAUCACUGGGCGUAAAGGGCGCGUAGGUGGCGCUGCAAGUCGGUGGUGAAAGCUCGAUGCUUAACAUCGAGUCGGCCAUCGAAACUGCAGGGCUCGAGCACUGUAGGGGCAGAUGGAAUUCCGGGUGUAGCGGUGGAAUGCGUAGAGAUCCGGAAGGACACCGGUGGCGAAGGCGGUCUGCUGGGCAGUUGCUGACACUGAGGCGCGACAGCGUGGGGAGCAAACAGGG
This 254-nucleotide ribosomal RNA is filed under the name uncultured bacterium. RNAcentral's name for it is "partial 16S ribosomal RNA". It matches the Rfam family "Bacterial small subunit ribosomal RNA", at positions 524 to 777 of the family's 1533-position model. The record is from RNAcentral.